GACGAACGCUGGCGGCGUGCCUAAUACAUGCAAGUAGAACGCACAGUUUAUACCGUAGCUUGCUACACCAUAGACUGUGAGUUGCGAACGGGUGAGUAACGCGUAGGUAACCUGCCUGGUAGCGGGGGAUAACUAUUGGAAACGAUAGCUAAUACCGCAUAAUAUUGAUUAUUGCAUGAUAAUUAAUUGAAAGGUGCAAUUGCACCACUACCAGAUGGACCUGCGUUGUAUUAGCUAGUAGGUGAGGUAACGGCUCACCUAGGCGACGAUACAUAGCCGACCUGAGAGGGUGGUCGGCCACACUGGGACUGAGACACGGCCCAGACUCCUACGGGAGGCAGCAGUAGGGAAUCUUCGGCAAUGGACGAAAGUCUGACCGAGCAACGCCGCGUGAGUGAAGAAGGUUUUCGGAUCGUAAAGCUCUGUUGUAAGAGAAGAACGGGUGUGAGAGUGGAAAGUUCACACUGUGACGGUAUCUUACCAGAAAGAGACGGCUAACUACGUG
Molecule: ribosomal RNA, 505 nt
Filed under: uncultured bacterium
Lineage: Bacteria
Description: partial 16S ribosomal RNA
Rfam family: Bacterial small subunit ribosomal RNA
Source: RNAcentral